CCGAACCGACUAAUGUUGAAAAAUUAGCGGAUGACCUGUGGCUGGGGGUGAAAGGCCAAUCAAACCGGGAGAUAGCUGGUUCUCCCCGAAAGCUAUUUAGGUAGCGCCUCGUGAAUUCAUCUCCGGGGGUAGAGCACUGUUUCGGCUAGGGGGCCAUCCCGGCUUACCAACCCGAUGCAAACUGCGAAUACCGGAGAAUGUUAUCACGGGAGACACACGGCGGGUGCUAACGUCCGUCGUGAAGAGGGAAACAACCCAGACCGCCAGCUAAGGUCCCAAAGUCAUGGUUAAGUGGGAAACGAUGUGGGAAGGCCCAGACAGCCAGGAUGUUGGCUUAGAAGCAGCCAUCAUUUAAAGAAAGCGUAAUAGCUCACUGGUCGAGUCGGCCUGCGCGGAAGAUGUAACGGGGCUAAACCAUGCACCGAAGCUGCGGCAGCGACACUGUGUGUUGUUGGGUAGGGGAGCGUUCUG
Molecule: ribosomal RNA, 471 nt
Filed under: Salmonella enterica
Lineage: Bacteria; Pseudomonadati; Pseudomonadota; Gammaproteobacteria; Enterobacterales; Enterobacteriaceae
Also listed under: 1 other name
Description: partial 23S ribosomal RNA
Rfam family: Bacterial large subunit ribosomal RNA
Source: RNAcentral